Molecule: ribosomal RNA, 468 nt
Filed under: uncultured bacterium
Lineage: Bacteria
Description: partial 16S ribosomal RNA
Rfam family: Bacterial small subunit ribosomal RNA
Source: RNAcentral
GACGAACGCUGGCGGCGUGCUUAACACAUGCAAGUCGAACGGAAAGGCCCUGCUUUUGUGGGGUGCUCGAUUGGCGAACGGGUGAGUAACACGUGAGUAACCUGCCCUUGACUUUGGGAUAACUUCAGGAAACUGGGGCUAAUACCGGAUAGGAGCUCCUGCUGCAUGGUGGGGGUUGGAAAGUUUCGGCGGUUGGGGAUGGACUCGAGGCUUAUCAGCUUGUUGGUGAGGUAGUUGCUUACCAAGGUUUUGACGGGUAGCCGGCCUGGGAGGGGGACCGGCCACAUUGGGACUGAGGGACGGCCCAGACUCCUACGGGAGGCAGCAGUGGGGAAUAUUGCACAAUGGGCGGAAGCCUGAUGCAGCAACGCCGCGUGCGGGAUGACGGCUUUCGGGUUGUAAACCGCUUUCGCCUGUGACGAAGCGUGAGUGACGGUAAUGGGUAAAGAAGCACCGGCUAACUACGUG